This 397-nucleotide ribosomal RNA is filed under the name uncultured bacterium. RNAcentral describes it as "partial 16S ribosomal RNA". It matches the Rfam family "Bacterial small subunit ribosomal RNA", at positions 523 to 918 of the family's 1533-position model. The record is from RNAcentral.
AUACGUAGGUGACAAGCGUUAUCCGGAUUUACUGGGCGUAAAGGGCGUGUAGGCGGUCUUGCAAGUCAGAAGUGAAAUUCCUGAGCUCAACUCGGGCGCUGCUUCUGAAACUGCAGGACUUGAGUGCUGGAGGGGAUAGCGGAAUUCCUAGUGGAGCGGUAAAAUGCGCAGAUAUUAGGAAGAACACCGGUGGCGAAGGCGGGUUUCGGGCCAGUAACUGACGCUGGGGCGCGAAAGCGUGGGGAGCAAAAAGGAUUAGAUACCCUGGUUGUCCACGCCGUAAACGAUGAAUACUAGGUGUAGGGGGUAUCGACUCCCUCUGUGCCGCAGUUAACACAAUAAGUAUUCCGCCUGGGGAGUACGGCCGCAAGGUUGAAACUCAAAGGAAUUGGCGGGG